UGUGUUAAGUUGGAACUGCUGGGGAGGGGGGAUACCCGUAUAGUUCAUGAGCUAGCGACUAUCACAUAGUCGCAUUCCCCCAAAUUGGUGUUUUUGUGUGAGACAAGGCAGAAGGCUGAUAAGAUGAGAAGGAUCCGUGGUCGGCUGGGGUUGAAGGGCUUCACCGGAGUGGACAGCACUGGGAUGAGUGGAGGGUUGGCUCUGUUUUGGCAUGAGGCUUAUGAGGUGGAAAUAAUUGAUAAAGAUGAAUGGUACAUUGAUGCCCUUGUGCGAGUUGCGGAGGGAGAAACCCAAUGGAGGAUUACUUGCGUAUAUGGAGAACCCAGAGUGGAGAACCGUCAUCUUAUGUGGGAGAAUCUAUAG
RNAcentral lists this ribosomal RNA (363 nucleotides) under Triticum aestivum (bread wheat). Its description in RNAcentral is "partial small subunit ribosomal RNA". Lineage: Eukaryota; Viridiplantae; Streptophyta; Magnoliopsida; Poales; Poaceae. The record is from RNAcentral.